CCUACGGGUGGCAGCAGUGAGGAAUAUUGGUCAAUGGACGCGAGCCUGAACCAGCCAAGUAGCGUGCAGGAUGACUGCCCUACGGGUUGUAAACUGCUUUUGUAAAGGGAUAAAGUGAGACACGUGUACCUUUCUGUAUGUACUGUAUGAAUAAGGAUCGGCUAACUCCGUGCCAGCAGCCGCGGUAAUACGGAGGAUUCGAGCGUUAUCCGGAUUUAUUGGGUUUAAAGGGAGCGUAGAUGGGUUGUUAAGUCAGUUGUGAAAGUUUGAGGCUCAACUGUAAAAUUGCAAUUGAUACUGGUCGUCUUGAGUAUAGUUGAGGUAGGCGGAAUGUGUGGUGUAGCGGUGAAAUGCUUAGAGAUCACGAAGAACUCCGAUUGCGAAGGCAGCUUACCAAGCUGCCACUGACAUUGAGGCUCGAAAGUGUGGGUAUCAAACAGGAUUAGAUACCCUAGUAGUC
RNAcentral lists this ribosomal RNA (460 nucleotides) under uncultured bacterium. Its description in RNAcentral is "partial 16S ribosomal RNA". It matches the Rfam family "Bacterial small subunit ribosomal RNA", at positions 338 to 795 of the family's 1533-position model. The record is from RNAcentral.